GAUGAACGCUAGCUACAGGCUUAACACAUGCAAGUCGAGGGGUAACAAGAGAAAAGCUUGCUUUUCUUGUUGACGACCGGCGCACGGGUGAGUAACGCGUAUCCAACCUGCCUAAAACUAGGGAAUACCCUGGCGAAAGUAAGACUAAUACCCUAUGAUGUCCUUUGAUGACAUCAGAUUAGGAAUAAAGAUUUAUCGGUUAUAGAUGGGGAUGCGUCUGAUUAGCUUGGUGGCGGGGUAACGGCCCACCAAGGCAACGAUCAGUAGGGGUUCUGAGAGGAAGGUCCCCCACAUUGGAACUGAGACACGGUCCAAACUCCUACGGGAGGCAGCAGUGAGGAAUAUUGGUCAAUGGGCGGAAGCCUGAACCAGCCAAGUAGCGUGCAGGAUGACGGCCCUAUGGGUUGUAAACUGCUUUUAUACAGGAAUAAAGUUAGCCACGUGUGGUUAUUUGUAGGUACUGUAUGAAUUGGGACCGGCUAAUUCCGUGCCAGCAGCCGCGGUAA
This 506-nucleotide ribosomal RNA is filed under the name uncultured bacterium. RNAcentral describes it as "partial 16S ribosomal RNA". It matches the Rfam family "Bacterial small subunit ribosomal RNA", at positions 28 to 523 of the family's 1533-position model. The record is from RNAcentral.